CUCCUCUUAUAAAUUGAUCUGAAAUUUUUCUCCAGUUGAUCAUGUUGAUAAUUUAUUUUAUAUAUACUUUUGUUAACAAAUUCCUUUUUUUUCCUUCAUUUUUAUAAGUUAUUAUAUAUAUGGUUAUGGUAUAAAAAUUACCAAUGCAGUGUUCUCUCCAGGGCCUUUUAGCAUCAUGGCAAUGGCAAUGUGAUGCUGUAUUGCUAGAAUGUGAUGCUAUCUGAAAUUAGUUUCUUAAACUUUAAGAAACUAAUUUCAGAUAGCAUCACAUACAUUUUGUACAUAACACUAGUUAUCUUUAAGACUUAAAGAUAACUAGUGUUAUGUAUGUGAUGCUAUAUUAUUUAGAAACAUGGUAUUACAUUUUUA
This 369-nucleotide long non-coding RNA is filed under the name Mytilus galloprovincialis (Mediterranean mussel). The record is from RNAcentral. Lineage: Eukaryota; Metazoa; Mollusca; Bivalvia; Mytilida; Mytilidae.